UCUCUGUCGUGUGAGGAGUGAAAGUUGGCUCUCCCCUAAGGGACCUAUGGAACUAACCCUCAUUCCAAGGACAAGAAUUCUGCGAUCAGGGCAGAUCAGAGUUAGGGGGCUUCCCUGUGCAAGUCUGUGCCAGCACUAGCGGUCAUACAGACGGGGUUCAACUCUCGCUGUCAACAGUCUGUGUAAUUUUCCUUUCUAUUUUCUCUCCUCAGUUUCAGGUGAAAUUGAUCUGUGGGGAAAAGUUAGCAGCACAGAGCUCAAUCCUUCCAGUAAAACUGGAUUAGAUACCCAGGUAUUGAGGACCUAACCCAAUGUUGGCAUACUAAGGAUUAAUCGGAAACGCAACACACGUGGCGGUCCCUUACACCCCCCUAGAGGGGCAUGCCUGUAAAAUGAAACUGCACAAACAAGUUUUCUGCUUUAAGAAUAAUCAUCUUGCACACCGCUGUCUGAAAGGGAGGGGGGAACCCUCGCCCUACCCCCCUAUGAAGGGAGUAAGGCAAGUAAAGGUGCAGACAAUAGAGUAGGAAAGGUGUGCUCCAGUACGUGGACCGUGUCAGUGGGAAGGCAUGGGAAAGAGAAUCUAGAAGUAAGAAGGGGAGAUGAAACCCGUCUGAAUAGGGCUCUUCGGGACGUACAAAUUGCCCGUCACUCCAGAAGAGGAGAAGUCGUAACACAGUUGGCCUACUGGAAAGUGGGCCAGGAUCCUUUCUAAUCA
Molecule: ribosomal RNA, 718 nt
Filed under: Philopterus sp. SLC-2011
Lineage: Eukaryota; Metazoa; Arthropoda; Insecta; Psocodea; Philopteridae
Description: small subunit ribosomal RNA
Source: RNAcentral